ACGACUCUCGACAACGGAUAUCUCGGCUCUCGCAUCGAUGAAGAACGUAGCGAAAUGCGAUACUUGGUGUGAAUUGCAGAAUCCCGUGAACCAUCGAGUCUUUGAACGCAAGUUGCGCCCGAAGCCAUCAGGCCGAGGGCACGUCUGCUUGGGUGUCACGC
This 161-nucleotide ribosomal RNA is filed under the name Afroligusticum piovanii. RNAcentral's name for it is "5.8S ribosomal RNA". It matches the Rfam family "5.8S ribosomal RNA". From Rfam's summary of the family: 5.8S ribosomal RNA (5.8S rRNA) is a component of the large subunit of the eukaryotic ribosome. It is transcribed by RNA polymerase I as part of the 45S precursor that also contains 18S and 28S rRNA. The record is from RNAcentral. Lineage: Eukaryota; Viridiplantae; Streptophyta; Magnoliopsida; Apiales; Apiaceae.